GGACGAACGCUGGCGGCGUGCUUAACACAUGCAAGUCGAACGAAGCUUGAUUACGGAUUCUUCGGAAGAAGUAUGAUAUGACUGAGUGGCGGACGGGUGAGUAACGCGUGAGUAACCUGCCCUUCAGAGGGGGAUAGCGUUUGGAAACGAACGGUAAUACCGCAUAAUGUAUUUUGACCGCAUGAUCGAAAUACCAAAGAUUUAUCGCUGAAGGAUGGACUCGCGUCUGAUUAGGUAGUUGGUGGGGUAACGGCCUACCAAGCCGACGAUCAGUAGCCGGACUGAGAGGUUGAUCGGCCACAUUGGGACUGAGACACGGCCCAGACUCCUACGGGAGGCAGCAGUGGGGAAUAUUGCACAAUGGGCGCAAGCCUGAUGCAGCAACGCCGCGUGAAGGAAGACGGUUUUCGGAUUGUAAACUUCUGUUCUUAGUGAAGAAUAAUGACGGUAGCUAAGGAGCAAGCCACGGCUAACUACGUGCCAGCAGCCGCGGUAAUACGUAGGUGGCAAGCGUUGUCCGGAAUUACUGGGUGUAAAGGGAGCGCAGGCGGGUGAUCAAGUCAGCUGUGAAAACUACGGGCUUAACCCGUAGACUGCAGUUGAAACUGUUCAUCUUGAGUGAAGUAGAGGUUGGCGGAAUUCCGAGUGUAGCGGUGAAAUGCGUAGAUAUUCGGAGGAACACCGGUGGCGAAGGCGGCCAACUGGGCUUUAACUGACGCUGAGGCUCGAAAGUGUGGGGAGCAAACAGGAUUAGAUACCCUGGUAGUCCACACUGUAAACGAUGAUUGCUAGGUGUGGGGGGUCUGACCCCUUCCGUGCCGGAGCUAACGCAAUAAGCAAUCCACCUGGGGAGUACGACCGCAAGGUUGAAACUCAAAGGAAUUGACGGGGACCCGCACAAGCAGUGGAUUAUGUGGUUUAAUUCGAAGCAACGCGAAGAACCUUACCAGCACUUGACAUCCAACUAACGAAAUAGAGAUAUAUUAGGUGCCCUUCGGGGAAAGUUGAGACAGGUGGUGCAUGGUUGUCGUCAGCUCGUGUCGUGAGAUGUUGGGUUAAGUCCCGCAACGAGCGCAACCCUCGCCAUUAGUUGCUACGCAAGAGCACUCUAAUGGGACCGCUACCGACAAGGUGGAGGAAGGUGGGGACGACGUCAAAUCAUCAUGCCCCUUAU
Molecule: ribosomal RNA, 1174 nt
Filed under: human gut metagenome
Description: bacterial SSU rRNA
Rfam family: Bacterial small subunit ribosomal RNA
Source: RNAcentral